UACGUAGGGUGCGAGCGUUGCCCUGAUUUAUUGGGCGUAAAGGGCGCGUAGGCGGCGCGAUAAGUUGGGCGUGAAAGGCCCGGGCUCAACCCGGGGACUGCGCUUGAUACUGUCGCGCUGUGAGUCCGGGAGAGGAUGGCGGAAUUCCCAGUGUAGAGGUGAAAUGCGUAGAUAUCUGGAGGAAUACCGGUGGCGAAGGCGGCAUCCUGGACCGACAUUGACGCUGAACGGCGAAAGCUAGGGGAGCAAACGGG
RNAcentral lists this ribosomal RNA (254 nucleotides) under uncultured bacterium. Its description in RNAcentral is "partial 16S ribosomal RNA". It matches the Rfam family "Bacterial small subunit ribosomal RNA", at positions 524 to 776 of the family's 1533-position model. The record is from RNAcentral.